CAGGCCUAACACAUGCAAGUCGAACGGUAACAGGCAGAAGCUUGCUUUUGCGCUGACGAGUGGCGGACGGGUGAGUAACGCGUAGGAAUCUACCUAGUAGUUGGGGACAACCUGGUGAAAACCAGGCUAAUACCGAAUAAGCCCUACGGGGGAAAGUGGAGGAUAUUCGGACUUCACGCUAUUAGAUGAGCCUGCGUCGGAUUAGCUAGAUGGUGGGGUAAAAGCCUACCAUGGCGACGAUCCGUAGCUGGUAUGAGAGGACGAUCAGCCACACUGGGACUGAGACACGGCCCAGACGACCUACGGGAGGCAGCAGUGGGGAAUAUUGGACAAUGGGGGCAACCCUGAUCCAGCAAUGCCGCGUGUGUGAAGAAGGCCUGCGGGUUGUAAAGCACUUUCAGUAAGGGAGGAAAAGUUCAAGGUAAGAACCCUUGGACCCUGGCGUCACCUACAGAAGAAGCACCGGCUAACGAUGUGCCAGCAGCCGCGG
This 490-nucleotide ribosomal RNA is filed under the name uncultured bacterium. Its description in RNAcentral is "bacterial SSU rRNA". It matches the Rfam family "Bacterial small subunit ribosomal RNA", at positions 43 to 520 of the family's 1533-position model. The record is from RNAcentral.